UGAAAAGCAGGGCAUACCUAUCUGAUAC
Molecule: non-coding RNA, 28 nt
Filed under: Homo sapiens (human)
Lineage: Eukaryota; Metazoa; Chordata; Mammalia; Primates; Hominidae
Source: RNAcentral